CCGAAAUGUUUUCCAACGGCACUAAAGCGUUACUUUCCCGGAACCCUCAUCAUUAAGGUUCCAUCUAGUAACCCCUGAAGGGUUUGUCCUUUGGGAGAAAUCCAUGAAGGUUCUACGUGGAACCGUAAGCGUUUCACGUAGAAACCUUUAGAAAGCUUGAAGUGUUAACCAGCCAAACAUCCUCUAAGGAGAUGUUUUUUAAGGAGUGUACUUCCUGUUUCCUGUCUGGUACUUACUGGACCACCAAGUGUUCUGACUGACAAGUGGAGUCUCUUUGGGAUCCUUUUCAUACCGGGAUUCACAACGUGAAUCCCAACAAACGCUGUCUUCUGUGCUUGGAUAGGCUUGUACGUCUCUCUCCAGUCGAAACAGACAAACGUCUACCUUUUAAGAACUUUUCCACUCGAGGAACCGGGGACCAUUUUCGUCGGUGCUUUUCUGUGCACGAGGAAGUACUGGUGCUAAAGGUUACUGCAGUAAACGUUACCGAUUGGUCAAAAGCACGCUUUAAGAGAACCACCAAGCAGAUUACUAAGAGUCCUGCAACGGGGUGGGAUGCAAAACAGAAACGUUUUAAUUCUCCGUCUGGAUCAUUGCGUAACUUCUGGCUCACGUGGUCUGAUGUUAUGACUGCACCGAUCCGAUCUAUGAUACGAUAUCGAUAUCAGAGCUCCAACGAUCAACCGCUACCCGAUAGAGCUGUCUUUACAGCAUCUGUCUGCUCUUGGCAAGUUCUGAAAAAGAUCAGGGAGAGCUUUGAGCUCUGAACACAUCACAUGCGUUCAGAGCAUAAGAUACGCCAAGGGGGUCAGGGAUCGAUGCGAAAUCCAAUUCAACAUGAAACCACUCCAGCGUGAGAGGCCGAUAUCGCUUCGGCCUCGCUUUAUAUACAUCACAAAAGCCCCAGGUUGAUAAGCAGAAAUAAAAAAUAAGCCGAGAACUGGAGUGCAUACGGAAAGACAUUCAGAAAAUGUUCGAAGAACCACUAUACGGAGGUACGGAAUAAAUGAAGUUUGGGAGAAAACGUCACGCUUGAAAUCGGAGUCCAGAACUCCUCCAGCCCAAGCGCUCAGAGUCUUUCUCUACAAUCACUCUCGUUGUCGUCUAGUCGACAGCAUGGUCUACAUUCUCAACUCCUGAUUCGUACGCAAAAGGAUUGGGGAUGAUCCUCGGUGCUUGAGGGAGUAUUUGGACAUCGUAGAAAGGUAUAAAGGUCCGACAUGCCAACCCGAGAUUUGUUCAUGAGGACGUGAAGGAUGACGGCGAGACGCCAGUGCCGACGGGAACAGGUCAGCCGGCUCCGGCGGCUCUAGGACGAGCGCUUGCACAACCUCGACAUGAACAUCAACAUCGCUGAGAAAACAGACGGUAUCUCGUGUUGACACACUGGCUGAUCAAACAAGCGUGUGGAAGGUUUCAAACACACACAAUACACACACACACACACGGGCAUUUCAGUACAUAACGAUAGAUCCGAAUCAGA
Molecule: long non-coding RNA, 1483 nt
Organism: Ictalurus punctatus (channel catfish)
Lineage: Eukaryota; Metazoa; Chordata; Actinopteri; Siluriformes; Ictaluridae
Source: Ensembl